This 517-nucleotide ribosomal RNA is filed under the name uncultured bacterium. Its description in RNAcentral is "bacterial SSU rRNA". It matches the Rfam family "Bacterial small subunit ribosomal RNA", at positions 993 to 1509 of the family's 1533-position model. The record is from RNAcentral.
GACAAACUCCGAAAGGAGUCUUCCGCAAGGACACUCGUAGAGGUGCUGCAUGGCUGUCGUCAGCUCGUGUCGUGAGAUGUUGGGUUAAGUCCCGCAACGAGCGCAACCCUUUGUCUUCUGUUGCCAUCAGGUUAUGCUGGGCACUCUGAAGAGACUGCCGGUGAUAAACCGGAGGAAGGUGGGGAUGACGUCAAGUCAGCAUGGCCUUUAUGUCUGGGGCUACACACGUGCUACAAUGGCAGAUACAAACCGUCGCGAGACCGCAAGGUGGAGCUAAUCGGAGAAAGUCUGUCUCAGUUCGGAUAGCAGGCUGCAACUCGCCUGCUUGAAGUUGGAAUCGCUAGUAAUCGCGGAUCAGCACGCCGCGGUGAAUACGUUCCCGGGCCUUGUACACACCGCCCGUCACAUCACGAAAGCCGGUUGUACUAGAAGUCGCCACACUAACCCGCAAGGGAGGGAGGCGCCUAAGGUAUGGUCGGUGAUUGGGGUGAAGUCGUAACAAGGUAGGCGUAGAUGA